Molecule: ribosomal RNA, 697 nt
Filed under: uncultured Methanosaeta sp.
Lineage: Archaea; Methanobacteriati; Methanobacteriota; Methanomicrobia; Methanotrichales; Methanotrichaceae
Description: bacterial SSU rRNA
Rfam family: Archaeal small subunit ribosomal RNA
Source: RNAcentral
UCCGGUUGAUCCUGGCGGAGGUUACUGCUAUCGAGGUUCGACUAAGCCAUGCGAGUCGAAUGUAGCAAUACAUGGCGUACUGCUCAGUAACACGUGGACAACCUACCCUUAGGUCGGGGAUAAACCCGGGAAACUGGGUAUAAUACCCGAUAGUCCUCGGAUGCUGGAAUGCACCGAGGUCUAAAGCUCCGGCGCCUAAGGAUGGGUCUGCGGCCUAUCAGGUAGUAGUGGGUGUAGCGUACCUACUAGCCUACGACGGGUACGGGUUGUGAGAGCAAGAGCCCGGAGAUGGAUUCUGAGACACGAAUCCAGGCCCUACGGGGUGCAGCAGGCGCGAAGACUUUACAAUGCUGGAAACAGCGAUAAGGGAACCUCGAGUGCCAGGUUACAAAUCUGGCUGUCGUGAUGCCUAAAAAGCAUUGCAUAGCAAGGGCCGGGCAAGACCGGUGCCAGCCGCCGCGGUAACACCGGCGGCUCGAGUGGUAACCGCUAUUAUUGGGUCUAAAGGGUCUGUAGCCGGCCGGAUAAGUCUUUUGGGAAAUCUGGCAGCUUAAUUGUCAGGCUUUCAGAGGAUACUGUCUGGCUCGAGGCCGGGAGAGGUGAGAGGUACUUCAGGGGUAGGGGUGAAAUCUUGUAAUCCUUGAAGGACCACCAGUGGCGAAGACGUCUCACCAGAACGGACCUGACGGCAAGGGAC